This 120-nucleotide ribosomal RNA is filed under the name Photobacterium carnosum. RNAcentral's name for it is "partial 16S ribosomal RNA". It matches the Rfam family "Bacterial small subunit ribosomal RNA", at positions 1 to 107 of the family's 1533-position model. Lineage: Bacteria; Pseudomonadati; Pseudomonadota; Gammaproteobacteria; Vibrionales; Vibrionaceae. The record is from RNAcentral.
ACUUUAAUUGAAGAGUUUGAUCAUGGCUCAGAUUGAACGCUGGCGGCAGGCCUAACACAUGCAAGUCGAGCGGUAACAGAAAGAAAGCUUGCUUUCUUUGCUGACGAGCGGCGGACGGGU